CGUGGAAGGAGGAUCUGCCGCGCUAAACGGCCAGCACAGUGGACCUUCUGCUUCCUUCAGCUUUGAACCCCCAGCUCAGGACCCUGAAGACACUCAGCAAUUAGGGAGUGGGCUGGGUGACCUCAGGCAAGUGACCAGUCUGUUUUUGCCUCCAGACCUGUUUUUCCAUCUGUACAACGAGGAUAGUAUAAGCACCCGCCCAUUGAGAUUGCUGCACUGAAAGUUCAAUACCUGCCUUCCCUUGUGGAGAACACAGCGGCAGGACCAUACUAGGUGCUCAAUAAACAUUUGUUGCCCGUAUCAAUACA
Neofelis nebulosa (Clouded leopard) is the source of this 308-nucleotide long non-coding RNA. RefSeq lists it as uncharacterized. Lineage: Eukaryota; Metazoa; Chordata; Mammalia; Carnivora; Felidae. The record is from RefSeq and is a predicted model, not a curated record. The transcript has 3 exons.